This 373-nucleotide ribosomal RNA is filed under the name uncultured organism. Its description in RNAcentral is "partial 16S ribosomal RNA". It matches the Rfam family "Bacterial small subunit ribosomal RNA", at positions 527 to 896 of the family's 1533-position model. The record is from RNAcentral.
AGAGGGUGCAAACGUUGCUCGGAUUUACUGGGGCGUAAAGCGCGUGUAGGCGGACUCGCAAGUCGGUUGUGAAAUCCCUGGGGCUCAACCUAGGAACUGCAUCCGAAACUGCUUGUCUUGAGUAAUGGAGAGGGUGGCGGAAUUCCCGGUGUAGAGGUGAAAUUCGUAGAUAUCGGGAGGAACAUCAGUGGCGAAGGCGGCCACCUGGACAUUUACUGACGCUGAGACGCGAAAGCGUGGGGAGCAAACAGGAUUAGAUACCCUGGUAGUCCACGCCGUAAACGAUGAGCAUUAGGUGCAGCGGAUAUUGACCUCUGCUGUGCCGUAGCUAACGCGUUAAAUGCUCCGCCUGGGGAGUACGGCCGCAAGGCUA